This is a non-coding RNA of Talaromyces proteolyticus, 87 nucleotides long. Lineage: Eukaryota; Fungi; Ascomycota; Eurotiomycetes; Eurotiales; Trichocomaceae. The record is from the annotation of a RefSeq genome assembly.
GGGGUGAUGGGACAGUUGGGAGUCCGUUAGACUGAAGUGUUAUGUUUCGAGAUCUAGAAGUCCUGGGAUCGAUGCCCAGUCAUCCCA